AACCAAAUACACACACGUAUCGGCACAUUGUCCCGGGUGCUCCGGUGGCCAGGUGGCCCCAGAGUCGGAUAAUGGGAUGCGUGGAGGCGUAAC
This 93-nucleotide small RNA is filed under the name uncultured Halospina sp. Its description in RNAcentral is "t44 RNA". It matches the Rfam family "t44 RNA", at positions 14 to 95 of the family's 95-position model. From Rfam's summary of the family: This family consists of a number of bacterial RNA genes of between 135 and 170 bases in length. The t44 gene is found between the map and rpsB genes in all species in the full alignment apart from Shigella flexneri. The record is from RNAcentral. Lineage: Bacteria; Pseudomonadati; Pseudomonadota; Gammaproteobacteria.